UAUUUAUCACUGUAAAAAGUAAAAAAAAAACUCCCAAAUGCAUUUGUAGGUAGCUAGCUAAUAGCCAUGGAGGAGGGGGAAAGGAUAGCAGCCCCAUCUGCCAAAGUGAGAGAGUAGGCUGUUCUGGAGAGGGCAGGUUCUGUUGUGUAGUUCCAGUCCCUAGAAGUGAGGACGGAGAUAACAGUAACAUCAUAUUCAGUGCGGUCUAAUUUUAGUAUAGUGAAGUCUGUUUCUUGUGAGGUUUUCUGUCCUCAGGUACAGAGAGCAGUGAAAGCCUGUCUGCAGAUGAAGAGGUCCCGAUGAAGAGCAGUGGUUCUCUGUCGUGGUCCUGGGGACUCGAAGGGGUUGCACGUUUUUUUUGCCUUAGCACUACACAGCUGGUUCAAAUGAUCAAGCUUCAAGUGGUAUUUAUGUGUUCAUUUGGGAUUCUAUCCUUGAUAUGAUCCUGCUAUUGUCACGUGCUGCACAUGCAUCUAUCUAUCCAAUGUUAUCAUGAUUUGUUAUAAGGGAUAUGAUACUUUAGUAAUCCACAAUGACCUGGUGAUGUAAAAAGUCUAAUAAUGGCAUUAUCUUCCAUAUUCCUGCAGAUACCUUGUAACUGGAGAUUCCUUCAAAACGAUUGCCUUCAGUUACCGUGUAGGGCACUGCAAGGUUGGGUGACCAGGGCCAUCUGGGACUGCCUCCUGGGGGAAUUCAGGCCUGUGUGUGAAGGCUUCCUGUGUCCUGCAUAACUAUCAUGAGGAUGGACGCGAGGACCAGGAGGGGGCCUGCAGCUCGCCACCGUGUGCCAGAGGAGAGGUCUGCUGCUCUGCAGGAUGUUACCAUGAUGGGGGCCAACAACGCAGCACAGGAGGCAAUCCGUGUGCGGGAGAUCUUCACCUCCUACUUCUUCGAAGGGUGCUGUUCCCUGGCAACACCAUAGACUACACUAUGCACAACCAAAGGCUCUUUUAAGAGUCCCCCAUAUUGAAAACAAUUAGACACCCUAUAACCCACACCUACACACUCAAUCUGGUUGAUGGAUUGUGCAGUAAGCAAGCUCAGGUGUAGAACUGUGGCUCCUUCCACCUCCAAAAGGACAGGCCAGAGGACCAACCAUGGAGAAUAGUUAUAUCAGCUGUGUCGGUGAACCCCUCCCGCAUCUGAACUGGCUACACAGAGGGCACAGCAGGAUCAGAGGUAUGUUUUGAUGGGUGCCAACCUCCAGUCCAGUCCAUCUCACCCGCUCUUAAGAUCACCUUCUGGCCAACUGGGGGCCCAAGGCUGUUAGGAGACACCGCUAGAGACACUAUUAUGGAAUUGUGAUGACCUGAGA
Molecule: long non-coding RNA, 1315 nt
Organism: Coregonus clupeaformis (lake whitefish)
Lineage: Eukaryota; Metazoa; Chordata; Actinopteri; Salmoniformes; Salmonidae
Exons: 3
Source: RefSeq, a predicted model, not a curated record